UUUUUUGGUGGGCUCUUUGGCCUAUUUUUUUAUUUUGGUGGGCUUCUUUGGCCUAUUUUAUUUCCUCACAUGGGACAAUACUCUAGUAAUGAUGAUCAUCACACUUUCAACUCAAAACUUAGAGCAACUAUGACUCUAUAUGAAAUGCCUUUGGUAGUGUACCGUGGCAAUGAUCUAGCAUGGCAUAGACAUCAAUGGAAACAUCAUGCUAGCUAUCUUACGAUCAUGCAAUGGCAAUGUAGACGUGGUGGCACAUGUCAUGGUGGUAGUUGCAUGGAAAUAUAUCUCGGAAUGAUUUUCAAAAAGCCAUAAUAGG
RNAcentral lists this long non-coding RNA (316 nucleotides) under Hordeum vulgare. RNAcentral describes it as "long non-coding RNA (HVUL_LNC000761)". Lineage: Eukaryota; Viridiplantae; Streptophyta; Magnoliopsida; Poales; Poaceae. The record is from RNAcentral.